This 73-nucleotide transfer RNA is filed under the name Candidatus Omnitrophota bacterium. Its description in RNAcentral is "tRNA-Arg". It matches the Rfam family "tRNA". Rfam says of the family: Transfer RNA (tRNA) molecules are approximately 80 nucleotides in length. Lineage: Bacteria; Pseudomonadati; Candidatus Omnitrophota. RNAcentral also lists the same sequence under 1 other name. The record is from RNAcentral.
GCGCCUGUAGCUCAACCGGAUAGAGCACAGGCCUCCGGAGCCUGAGGUGGCAGUUCAAGUCUGCCCAGGCGCA